UGGGGAAUUUUGGACAAUGGGCGAAAGCCUGAUCCAGCCAUGCCGCGUGAGUGAAGAAGGCCUUCGGGUUGUAAAGCUCUUUUAGUCGGAAAGAAAGAGUUGCAAUGAAUAAUUAUGAUUUAUGACGGUACCGUAAGAAGAAGCACCGGCUAACUACAUGCCAGCAGCCGCGGUAAUACGUAGGGUGCGAGCGUUAAUCGGAAUUACUGGGCGUAAAGCGUGCGCAGGCGGUUUUGUAAGACAGAUGUGAAAUCCCCGGGCUUAACCUGGGAACUGCGUUUGUGACUGCAAGGCUGGAGUACGGCAGAGGGGGGUGGAAUUCCACGUGUAGCAGUGAAAUGCGUAGAGAUGUGGAGGAACACCGAUGGCGAAGGCAGCCCCCUGGGCCUGUACUGACGCUCAUGCACGAAAGCGUGGGGAGCAAACA
RNAcentral lists this ribosomal RNA (427 nucleotides) under uncultured bacterium. RNAcentral describes it as "bacterial SSU rRNA". It matches the Rfam family "Bacterial small subunit ribosomal RNA", at positions 355 to 774 of the family's 1533-position model. The record is from RNAcentral.